UACGUAGGGCGCAAGCGUUGUCCGGAAUUAUUGGGCGUAAAGAGCUCGUAGGCGGUUUGUCGCGUCGGCUGUGAAAUCCCGAGGCUCAACCUCGGGUCUGCAGUCGAUACGAGCAAACUAGAGUGUUGCAGGGGAGACUGGAAUUCCUGGUGUAGCGGUGAAAUGCGCAGAUAUCAGGAGGAACACCGGUGGCGAAGGCGGGUCUCUGGGCAACAACUGACGCUGAGGAGCGAAAGCGUGGGGAGCGAACAGG
Molecule: ribosomal RNA, 253 nt
Filed under: uncultured bacterium
Lineage: Bacteria
Description: partial 16S ribosomal RNA
Rfam family: Bacterial small subunit ribosomal RNA
Source: RNAcentral